Exaiptasia diaphana is the source of this 1062-nucleotide long non-coding RNA. RefSeq lists it as uncharacterized. Lineage: Eukaryota; Metazoa; Cnidaria; Anthozoa; Actiniaria; Aiptasiidae. The record is from RefSeq and is a predicted model, not a curated record. The transcript is spliced from 3 exons.
CUUUGAUUUUGARCCAAUCAAAAAAGACCUUUCAACAAGGGAUCAUUUGUAAAACAAAAUAAACGAUCGCAGAGGUUCUUGGAUGCUCGUUAGUCUUUAAAUAUGGUGAGAUUAGUAUCAUUAGUACUCCAUUGGAGCUUUACUGGGAUUGAAUGUCCGUAUUUGUUCCAUUCACGAAAUGGUGUCCUUCUGUAUGUAAGUUUGAAGUCGGUGAAGUUUUGUCGAUUAAUAUCAGUCAUGUGUGGCUACUUUAGAUCAGAAUUUGCGUGAUUACUUCCAGAUAGAUCUAGUCUGAAUCUAGUCGCCAUUUUAUUGUUCUCUGAUAGCGGGUGUUCUCUGAUAUCCUCGUGGAGUGAAGUAAAAAAACCCGUCAAAUACGCUAAUAUACCUUGUACCCAAAGUAGCUUUUGGAGUAUUGCAAGAURAUCCUUUAUAAGGCAGUGGUAAUUAAAUUCAUUAAUUCCAGAGACAAACUGCAAGAGGCUAAGCUGAACUACAAUGUUUGCUACUGUAGACCUGACGGGAGACAGCGCAUAUUAGAUACUCUGUCAACUAUGGUUAAAAAAGUUACAUCUAACCCUAAAUGUAACAACCGUGCAUGUAAAAACAAAAAGAAAUUAAGUUCUUCUGCUAGUUCCGUUGGCUAUUAUACGUGUGUGAUGUUUCUCACUUUCUAAAGAUCUGAACAGACCUGCCCAGUACUUUUGACGAGGARUAAGAAAAAUAAACAAAAAAAGCUGAAACACUUACUCCGCGUCAUUCUUUUCACGUCUCUCCCUGAGCCUUAAUGAAGUUUUCAUUUUCAAAUAAGUAUGUUGUAUGUACGAUUAGAGUAUUUGAAUAUCAACUCUAGUGAUGUUAUUAUUGCCUCCUUCUAGAMUUGAGAUAAAGUAAUCGAUAAUAAACAUGCGACMAGAACAGGCACCKCAGAGUCGCCAUCACGAUUACAAUUGUCACCGACGACAAACAUUGCAGAUCAUUCCGAAAUGAAUAGCUCUUUGCAUGKCUUGAUAGAGCUACUUCUGUAGCCUCACUUGAGGAUURCAUUACUAACAAAAUACU